This 490-nucleotide ribosomal RNA is filed under the name uncultured bacterium. RNAcentral's name for it is "partial 16S ribosomal RNA". It matches the Rfam family "Bacterial small subunit ribosomal RNA", at positions 28 to 507 of the family's 1533-position model. The record is from RNAcentral.
GAUGAACGCUCGCGAUAGGCUUAACACAUGCAAGUCGAGGGGCAGCAUGGUCUUAGCUUGCUAAGGCUGAUGGCGACCGGCGCACGGGUGCGUAACGCGUAUGCAACUUGCCUCACAGAGGGGGAUAACCCGUCGAAAGACGGACUAAUACCGCGUACACUCUAUGUUGGGCAUCCAAUGUAGAGGAAAUGAAAUUCGCUGUGAGAUAGGCAUGCGUCCCAUUAGCUAGUUGGUGAGGUAACGGCUCACCAAGGCGACGAUGGGUAGGGGAACUGAGAGGUUGAACCCCCACACUGGUACUGAGACACGGACCAGACUCCUACGGGAGGCAGCAGUGAGGAAUAUUGGUCAAUGGGCGAGAGCCUGAACCAGCCAAGUCGCGUGAAGGAUGACUGUCUUAUGGAUUGUAAACUCCUUUUAUACGGGAAUAACAAGAGUCACGUGUGGCUCCCUGCAUGUACCGUAUGAAUAAGCAUCGGCUAACUCCGUG